CAUGUGGCUCAGUGGAUAGAGCGUUCGCCUCCGGAGCGAAAGGUCGCGGGUUCGACUCCCGCCAUG
Molecule: transfer RNA, 66 nt
Filed under: bovine gut metagenome
Rfam family: tRNA
About the family: Transfer RNA (tRNA) molecules are approximately 80 nucleotides in length. Their secondary structure includes four short double-helical elements and three loops (D, anti-codon, and T loops).
Source: RNAcentral